UAGUCAUAUGCUUGUCUCAAAGAUUAAGCCAUGCAUGUCUAAGUAUAAGCAAUUUAUACAGUGAAACUGCGAAUGGCUCAUUAAAUCAGUUAUAGUUUAUUUGAUAGUACCUUACUACUUGGAUAACCGUGGUAAUUCUAGAGCUAAUACAUGCUAAAAACCCCGACUGCUUGGGAGGGGUGUAUUUAUUAGAUAAAAAAUCAAUGCCCUCGGGCUCUUUGAUGAUUCAUAAUAACUUGUCGAAUCGCAUGGCUUUACGCCGGCGAUGGUUCAUUCAAAUUUCUGCCCUAUCAACUGUCGAUGGUAGGAUAGUGGCCUACCAUGGUGGCAACGGGUAACGGGGAAUAAGGGUUCGAUUCCGGAGAGGGAGCCUGAGAAACGGCUACCACAUCCAAGGAAGGCAGCAGGCGCGCAAAUUACCCAAUCCUAAUUCAGGGAGGUAGUGACAAUAAAUAACGAUACAGGGCCCUUCUGGGUCUUGUAAUUGGAAUGAGUACAAUGUAAAUACCUUAACGAGGAACAAUU
RNAcentral lists this ribosomal RNA (525 nucleotides) under uncultured eukaryote. Its description in RNAcentral is "SSU rRNA". It matches the Rfam family "Eukaryotic small subunit ribosomal RNA", at positions 21 to 549 of the family's 1831-position model. The record is from RNAcentral.